AGUGAACGCUGGCGGUAGGCCUAACACAUGCAAGUCGAACGGCAGCACAGUAAGAGCUUGCUCUUACGGGUGGCGAGUGGCGGACGGGUGAGGAAUACAUCGGAAUCUACUUUUUCGUGGGGGAUAACGUAGGGAAACUUACGCUAAUACCGCAUACGACCUACGGGUGAAAGCAGGGGAUCUUCGGACCUUGCGCGAUUGAAUGAGCCGAUGUCGGAUUAGCUAGUUGGCGGGGUAAAGGCCCACCAAGGCGACGAUCCGUAGCUGGUCUGAGAGGAUGAUCAGCCACACUGGAACUGAGACACGGUCCAGACUCCUACGGGAGGCAGCAGUGGGGAAUAUUGGACAAUGGGCGCAAGCCUGAUCCAGCCAUACCGCGUGGGUGAAGAAGGCCUUCGGGUUGUAAAGCCCUUUUGUUGGGAAAGAAAGGCAGCAGGUUAAUACCCCGCUGUUCUGACGGUACUCAAAGAAUAAGCACCGGCUAACUUCGUG
RNAcentral lists this ribosomal RNA (492 nucleotides) under uncultured bacterium. RNAcentral describes it as "partial 16S ribosomal RNA". It matches the Rfam family "Bacterial small subunit ribosomal RNA", at positions 29 to 507 of the family's 1533-position model. The record is from RNAcentral.